Oncorhynchus tshawytscha (Chinook salmon) is the source of this 685-nucleotide long non-coding RNA. Lineage: Eukaryota; Metazoa; Chordata; Actinopteri; Salmoniformes; Salmonidae. The record is from Ensembl.
GUCUAUGGGUAUAAAGUAUAUAGACUCUAGUUGGUUCUGUUAGGACCUGGUCCUCUCUGUCUCUGGGUAUAAAGUCUAUAGACUCUAGUUGGUUCUGUUAGGACCUGGUCCUCUCUGUCUCUGGGUAUAAAGUCUAUAGACUCUAGUUGGUUCUGUUAGGACCCAGUCCUCUUUGUAUCUGAGUAUAAAGUCUAUAACCUUUACUUGGUUCUGUCAGGAGCCAGUCCUCUCUGUCUUUGGGUAUAAAGUCUAUAGACUCUAGUUGGUUCUGUUAGGACCUGGUCCUCUCUGUCUCUGGGUAUAAAGUCUAUAGACUCUAGUUGGUUCUGUUAGGACCUGGUCCUCUCUGUCUCUAGGUAUAAAGUCUAUAGACUCUAGUUGGUCCUGUUAGGACCCAGUACUCUCUGAGUAUAAAGUCUAUAGACUCUAGUUGGUCCUGUUAGGACCCAGUACUCUCUGAGUAUAAAGUCUAUAGACUCUAGUUGGUUCUGUUAGGACCUGGUCCUCUCUGGGUAUGAAGUCUAUAGACUCUAGUUGGUUCUGUUAGGACCUGGUCCUCUCUGUCUCUGGGUAUAAAGUCUAUAGACUCUAGUUGGUUCUGUUAGGCCCCAGUCCUCUUUGUCUCUGAGUAUAAAGUCUAUAGACUCUAGUUGGUUCUGUUAGGACCUGGUCCUCUCUGUCUCUG